Small nuclear RNA from Camelus dromedarius (Arabian camel), 133 nucleotides. Its record names the gene U1. It matches the Rfam family "U1 spliceosomal RNA". Rfam says of the family: U1 is a small nuclear RNA (snRNA) component of the spliceosome (involved in pre-mRNA splicing). NCBI's taxonomy places the organism in Eukaryota, Metazoa, Chordata, Mammalia, Artiodactyla, Camelidae. The record is from Ensembl.
AAAUUCUCCUGGCAGGGGAGAGACCAUGAUCACAAAGGUGGUUUUCCCAGGGUGAAGCUCAAACAUUGCACUCUGAAUGUGCUGACCCCCACAAUUUCCCCAAAUGUGGGAAAUUCGACUGUGUAAUUCGGGU